Molecule: long non-coding RNA, 5069 nt
Filed under: Gossypium barbadense (sea-island cotton)
Lineage: Eukaryota; Viridiplantae; Streptophyta; Magnoliopsida; Malvales; Malvaceae
Description: long non-coding RNA (GBAR_LNC006717)
Source: RNAcentral
GGUAGUGGAUUGUUGUUGUUGGUAGUGGGUUGUUGGUGGUAGUGGAUUAGUGGAUGGUUGUUGGUGUCCAUUUUCAACCACAAAUCUUUGCCAAAGUUUUGGACAAUUAUGUCCUUGAACUCUCUUAUAAAUAGAGAGGUUCAUUAGCCAUAUUCAUCAUCCCAAACCAAGAGAGAGCAAAGCUUGUUCUUUGAAAGCUAGGAUUUUAGCUUUCGGGUUUUCUAUAGGGGUUGAGAGUUGUGAGGUUCUCGGGUUGUGUCUUGAGUGUAAAACACUUGUAAUCUUCAUCUUGUUAUAGUGAAAUUUCUUUUUCGCCUCUGCCCGUGGACGUAGGCAUUAAAGCCGAACCACGUAAAUCCUUGUGUUCACUUUAUUUUUCGUUUCGGUCAAUUUACUUGUAGUCAUAUCGGAGUUCUCGAAUCGAUCCUUUCGGCAACAAAUUGGUAUCAGAGCGUAGUUGAAGGAGUGAUAAUAUUUUCUGAAUUGCCCUGUGACUGCAGCUUUGUCUGAUCUUUCACAUCAGGAAGAAAAUAUUAUCAUUCAUUCAAAGGUUCCAAAUUAUGGCUACAAGUGUUUCAUCGACUAAGUAUGAUGUCGAGAAAUUUACCGGGAAAAAUAGUUUCAGUUUAUGGCGCAUCAAGAUGCGGGCAGUGCUGGUUCAACAAGGAUUGCUAAAAGCAUUGUCUGGUAAAGAUAAAUUACCAAGCACGCUUUCGGAAGAGCAAAAGGAUGACAUGCUAGAAAGAGCACAUAGUGCUAUUCUGCUAUGUCUAGGAGAUGAAGUGCUACGAGAAGUAGCGGAUGAGAAAACCGCGUCCGGUUUGUGGCUCCGGUUAGAAAGCAAGUACAUGACGAAGUCAUUGACGAACCGGCUCUACCUCAAGCAAAGACUCUAUGCCCUGAAGAUGGAGGAAGGUACACCUGUUUCCCAGCACCUGGAUAAAUUCAAUUCCAUUAUCAUGGAUUUGAAUAAUAUCGAUAACAAAAUCGAUGAUGAGGACCAAGCAAUAAUUGUUUUGUGUUCUUUGCCUCCCUCGUAUGAGAAUUUUGUUGAUACAAUGAUGUACGGUCGUGAUGACCUGACUCUAGAGGAGGUGAAAAAUGCCUUAAGUUCCAGUGAGUUGAGGAAGAAAAUCACUGGUAAGGUGGUCGAAAACAAUGAAGGCGAAGGCUUGGUUGCUCGAGGAAGAUCCAAGGCAAAGGGUGGAAGUUCAAGUAAAAGCCAUCCUAGAUCGCAGUCCAAGAAGAGAAUACAGUGCUACUACUGUAAGAAGUACGGGCACAUGAAGGUAGAUUGUCCGAAAAGGAAGGAGAAAUCAGAAUCACAGGAGCAACAAAAUGAUCGUGCGAAUGUAGCUGAUGCAGAUUCUUCAAGUGAUGCCGAGAUCGUUCUUGCAGUAUCCGACUCUUACGCUGGUGGGAGAUGGAUUCUUGAUACGGGAGCUACAUUUCAUAUAAGUACUUCGAAAGAUGCAUUCUCAACAUACGAGAAGCAUUCUGGUUCAGUACUAAUGGGAAAUGACCACGCAUGUCAAGUCAUGGGGAUUGGCACAGUUCGUAUAAAGAUGUUUGACGGUAUUGUUAGAACUCUAACUGAUGUUCGGCACAUUCCAGAAAUGAAGAAAAAUUUGAUCUCUUUGAGUACGUUGGACAAGAAAGGCUUUCGGUACUCUGCUGAAGGUGGAGUUCUCAAGGUAUUCUCGGGUGCUUUGACUGUGAUACGUGGUAAUUUGGAGCGGGGCCUUUACUUCCUCGAUGGUUCCUCGGUUACAGGUGUUGCGGGAGUGUCAUCAUCAGAUGAUCUAGAUUCUGACACCACGAAGUUAUGGCAUAUGCGGCUCGGGCAUAUGAGCGAGAGAGGCUUAUCGGUGCUAAGCAAACGAGGAUUAUUGUCUGGGCAGUGUACAGGAAAGUUGAAUUUCUGUGAGCACUGCGUCUUCGGUAAGCAGACUCGGGUAAAGUUCAGCACUGGGAUUCACAAGACAAAAGGCACAGUGGAUUACUUCCAUUCUGACCUUUGGGGGCCUUCUCCGACAAUUUCUAAAGGUGGUUACAGAUAUCUGCUUACCUUUAUCGAUGAUUACUCGAGAAAGGUUUGGGUGUAUUUUCUGAAGAGCAAGUAUGAGGUUCUCAUCAACUUCAAGCAAUUUAAAGCUUUGAUCGAAAAUCAAACAGGAAAGAAGAUCAAGCGAUUCCGGACGGAUAAUGGCUUGGAGUUUUGCUCAGGUGAAUUCAAUGAGUUCUGCAAGAAUGAAGGAAUAGUGAGACACCGCACUGUUCGUCGAACACCACAACAAAAUGGAGUUGCAGAACGCAUGAAUAGAACUCUCUUGGAGCGAGCUCGUUGCAUGCGAUCAAAUGCUGGGCUCGGUGAAGAAUUUUGGGCUGAAGCUGUUAAUACUGCUUGUUAUUUGGUUAACAGAUCUCCGUCAACAGCUAUUGAGCUGAAGACUCCUGAGGAAGUAUGGUCUGGUUCUCCUGCUGAUUACUCUGGUUUAAGAGUGUUUGGCUGCCCUGCGUAUGCUCAUGUAAAUGAGGGAAAACUCAAACCGAGGGCGAAGAAAUGCAUAUUUCUUGGAUACGGCCAAGGGGUGAAAGGAUACAGGUUGUGGUGUCCUGAUCCGGUUUCGUCCAAGUUCAUCAUCAGCAGAGAUGUGACUUUUGAUGAGUCAUCCAUGCUUCGAUCCACCACAAAUUCCCGGGAAAAGGAGGAGUCAGAUAGAAUGGGAGAUCACGGUGUUGAGAAGCAGGUGGAGUGUCAGGUGGACGCUCCAAUUCCUACGGAAGGUACUUCAGUCCAGGAUGAUCAAGUUGAGGUGCAAGAUUCCGAUGAAGAUGAGUCACCUCAAGAAAAACCAUAUAGCAUUGCCACUGGAAGAACGAAGAGACAAAUCAAACCAAAUCCGCGUUACGCUAAUCUGGUGUCUUUCGCGCUCAGUGUGGCGGAGUCCAUUGGUAUAGAACCUUCCAGUUAUAAUGAGGCUGUCACGUGUGAUGAGUCGGCACAGUGGGCAAUUGCUAUGAGUGAGGAGAUAGAAUCUCUUCACAAGAACCAUACUUGGGAGUUGGUUAAGCCGCCAAGUAACCAGAAGAUAGUUGGUUGCAAAUGGGUCUUCAAGAAAAAGGAAGGCAUCCUAGGGGUUGAAGCAACUAGAUUCAAGGCACGAUUGGUUGCUAAAGGCUUCACUCAGAAAGAGGGGAUUGACUACAAUGAAGUUUUCUCCCCAGUCGUAAAGCAUUCUUCCAUUCGUAUAUUACUUGCCAUGGUGGCCAAGUCUGAUCUAGAACUUGAGCAGCUUGACGUAAAAACGGCGUUCUUGCAUGGUGAGCUCGAGGAAACAAUCUACAUGCGUCAACCAGAGGGUUUUACAGUUCCUGGUAAAGAAGACCAUGUCUGUCUAUUAAAGAAGUCUUUAUAUGGAUUGAAACAAUCCCCAAGGCAGUGGUACAAGCGGUUUGAUAGCUUCAUGAUUCAGCAUGGUUACACAAGAUGUGACUAUGAUGCUUGUGUCUAUCAUCGGAAGCUCUCAGAUGGUUCGCACAUUUAUUUGUUGCUGUAUGUUGAUGACAUGUUAAUUGCUUCCAAAAACAUGUCGGAAAUCAACAAGUUAAAGUCGCAGUUGAGUGGUGAGUUCGAGAUGAAGGAUCUGGGUGCUGCCAAGAAAAUUUUGGGCAUGGAUAUUCACAGAGAUCGCAAGGCGGGCAAGCUUCGUGUGUCGCAGAAGAACUACAUUGAAAAGGUUCUUCAACGCUUCGGCAUGGAUAAAGCGAAAACUGUGAGUACUCCGUUGGCACCACAUUUCAAACUCUCUGCAGAGUUGUCACCACAAUCUGAUGAAGAAAAGCAGCAAAUGUCUCACAUUCCAUACUCGAGUGCAGUUGGAAGCGUGAUGUAUGCAAUGGUUUGCACUCGUCCAGACAUUUCACAUGCAGUUAGUGUGGUCAGCAGAUACAUGAGUUGUCCUGGCAAGGAACACUGGCAGGCCGUGAAAUGGAUUCUCAGGUACUUGAGAGGUUCUGCAGAUUUAUGCUUGGUAUAUGAUCAGAGUGACUGCACUAGCAGUGUCACGGGCUAUGCGGACUCUGAUUAUGCUGGAGAUCUGGACAAAAGAAGAUCUCUGACGGGUUAUGUUUUCACUUAUUCUGGAGGAGCCAUUAGUUGGAAAGCUGUGUUACAGUCUACCGUAGCCUUAUCUACGACUGAGGCGGAAUAUAUGGCGUUAGCAGAAGCAGUGAAAGAAGCAUUGUGGAUGAAAGGUCUAGUAAGCAGUUUGGGUUUACAACAGGAUUUCACUGUUGUAUUUUGCGAUAGCCAGAGUGCCAUACAUCUGACUAAAAAUCAGAUGUUUCAUGAACGGACCAAACACAUUGAUGUCAGAUAUCAUUUUGUUCGGGAACAUGUUACGCAAGGUGACAUUGUUAUCAGCAAGGUUGCUACCGAGAAGAAUCCUGCAGAUAUGUUAACUAAGGUGAUCCCUGCAUAUAAGUUCAAGCAUUGCUUGGACUUGAUAGGUAUUCGGGAUUGAUUAGCGCCAGAGAGGCGUUUGGAAGAGGUGAUCCAGUUCACUAUGAUGUUCAGCUUGGUAAAUUUCAAGCCAAGGUGGAGAUUUGUUAAGAAAUGGCUUAAAAUUGGUAGUGGAUUGUUGUUGUUGGUAGUGGGUUGUUGGUGGUAGUGGAUUAGUGGAUGGUUGUUGGUGUCCAUUUUCAACCACAAAUCUUUGCCAAAGUUUUGGACAAUUAUGUCCUUGAACUCUCUUAUAAAUAGAGAGGUUCAUUAGCCAUAUUCAUCAUCCCAAACCAAGAGAGAGCAAAGCUUGUUCUUUGAAAGCUAGGAUUUUAGCUUUCGGGUUUUCUAUAGGGGUUGAGAGUUGUGAGGUUCUCGGGUUGUGUCUUGAGUGUAAAACACUUGUAAUCUUCAUCUUGUUAUAGUGAAAUUUCUUUUUCGCCUCUGCCCGUGGACGUAGGCAUUAAAGCCGAACCACGUAAAUCCUUGUGUUCACUUUAUUUUUCGUUUCGGUCAAUUUACUUGUAGUCAUAUCGGAGUUCUCGAAUCGAUCCUUUCCGCAACA